Molecule: unclassified non-coding RNA, 356 nt
Filed under: Hevea brasiliensis (rubber tree)
Lineage: Eukaryota; Viridiplantae; Streptophyta; Magnoliopsida; Malpighiales; Euphorbiaceae
Source: RNAcentral
GCUUCAUUAAAUUUCUCAAACUUUUGGUCAAAGGAUUGAUCCUUGUUAGUUCGUUUGUUUCCGCUGAGAUCUCUGCCACCACUUCCAGUAUAGAGGAACCAUUCCCCAUGAUCUUCAUCAUCUACGUAGCCUCCAGAAAGUGCCACAGACUGUGCACCAUAGUUUGCUUGCCCAGCAAUACCAGCGACAUGGGGAAGGUGUACACCCCACUGCCUACAUUCCAAUCUAUCUUCCCAACACUCCCCAACCAAGACACCUUGAUUUCUCUCAGGGUCAUUUUCAGCUGGGAUAGGCCCAAAAUGAUCUGGUGGCACAGUGACAAAUAUCUUCCCACUGCAGGCAUUGGCCUUACCAGC